ACAGUGUAGAAAUACUGAGCGAUGAGUGUGGAUAGUUGUUAAAGAACAACUAGUACUGAGUGUGACCAUACAAGAGAUCACUUAGAUUUCUACUCAAUUGUCAGUGAUCGUCUCGAUACUGUAGUUGUAUGAAUGAUCCUUUGAUCUGUGAUGGUAUUAUUGCUCACAAUAAAACUACUGAAGUUUGACUGACACAUAAAUAUAACCUCG
This 210-nucleotide long non-coding RNA is filed under the name Elaeis guineensis (African oil palm). RNAcentral describes it as "long non-coding RNA (EGUI_LNC042542)". Lineage: Eukaryota; Viridiplantae; Streptophyta; Magnoliopsida; Arecales; Arecaceae. The record is from RNAcentral.